AUUGAACGCUGGCGGCAUGCUUUACACAUGCAAGUCGAACGGCAGCGCGGGCUUCGGCCUGGCGGCGAGUGGCGAACGGGUGAGUAAUGCAUCGGAACGUGCCCAGUAGUGGGGGAUAGCCCGGCGAAGGCCGGAUUAAUACCGCAUACGACCUGAGGGUGAAAGCGGGGGACCGAAAGGCCUCGCGCUAUUGGAGCGGCCGAUGUCGGAUUAGCUAGUUGGUGGGGUAAAGGCUUACCAAGGCGACGAUCCGUAGCUGGUCUGAGAGGACGACCAGCCACACUGGGACUGAGACACGGCCCAGACUCCUACGGGAGGCAGCAGUGGGGAAUUUUGGACAAUGGGGGCAACCCUGAUCCAGCCAUGCCGCGUGCGGGAAGAAGGCCCUCGGGUUGUAAACCGCUUUUGUUCGGGAAGAAAUCCUCUGGGCUAAUACCCCGGGGGGAUGACGGUACCGGAAGAAUAAGCACCGGCUAACUACGUG
Molecule: ribosomal RNA, 484 nt
Filed under: uncultured bacterium
Lineage: Bacteria
Description: partial 16S ribosomal RNA
Rfam family: Bacterial small subunit ribosomal RNA
Source: RNAcentral